CGUGGCCCAGUGGGUGGGACGCCAGGCUGGUAACCCUGUGGUCGAAGGUUCGAGUCC
This 57-nucleotide transfer RNA is filed under the name Oxyrrhis marina. RNAcentral describes it as "partial tRNA". The record is from RNAcentral. Lineage: Eukaryota; Dinophyceae; Oxyrrhinales; Oxyrrhinaceae.